This 468-nucleotide ribosomal RNA is filed under the name uncultured bacterium. Its description in RNAcentral is "partial 16S ribosomal RNA". It matches the Rfam family "Bacterial small subunit ribosomal RNA", at positions 28 to 507 of the family's 1533-position model. The record is from RNAcentral.
GACGAACGCUGGCGGCGUGCUUAACACAUGCAAGUCGAACGGAAGGGCCCUGCGUGUUUGGGGUUCUCGAGUGCCGAACGGGUGAGUAACACGUGAGUAACCUGCCCUUCACUUUCGGAUAACUUCAGGUAGCUGGGGCUACUACCGGAUAGCAGCCCCCGCUGCGUGGAGGGCGUUGGAAAUUUUCGGCGGUUGGGGAUGGACUCGCGGCUUAUCAGCUAGUUGGUGGGGGAGUGGCUUACCAAGGCUUUGACGGGUAGCCGGCCUGUGAGGGGGGCCGGCGACAUUGGGCCUGCGAUACGGACCAGACUGCUAUGGGAGGCAGCAGUGGGGAGUAUGGCCCAAUGGGCGGAAGCCUGAUGAAGCAGCGCCGGGUGCGGGAUGACGGCCUUCGGGUUGUAAACCGCUGUCGCCUGUGACGAAGCGGGAGUGACGGUAAUGGGUAAAGAAGCACCGGCUAACUACGUG